GGGGGGGGGGGGGGGGGGGGGGGGGGGGGGGGGGGCGGGGGGGGGGGGGGGGGGGGGGGGGGCUGGGGGGGGGCGGGGGGGGGGCGGGGGGGGAAUACAUCGGAAUCUACUUUUUCGGGGGGGAUAACGGAGGGAAACUUACGCUAAUACCGCAUACGACCUACGGGUGAAAGCAGGGGAUCUUCGGACCUUGCGCGAUUGAAUGAGCCGAUGGCGGAUUAGCUAGUUGGCGGGGUAAAGGCCCACCAAGGCGACGAUCCGUAGCUGGUCUGAGAGGAUGAUCAGCCACACUGGAACUGAGACACGGUCCAGACUCCUACGGGAGGCAGCAGUGGGGAAUAUUGGACAAUGGGCGCAAGCCUGAUCCAGCCAUACCGCGUGGGUGAAGAAGGCCUUCGGGUUGUAAAGCCCUUUUGUUGGGAAAGAAAAGCAGCAGGUUAAUACCCCGCUGUUCUGACGGUACCCAAAGAAUAAGCACCGGCUAACUUCGUG
Molecule: ribosomal RNA, 492 nt
Filed under: uncultured bacterium
Lineage: Bacteria
Description: partial 16S ribosomal RNA
Rfam family: Bacterial small subunit ribosomal RNA (bases 62-492)
Source: RNAcentral